This 285-nucleotide ribosomal RNA is filed under the name Escherichia coli. Its description in RNAcentral is "partial 23S ribosomal RNA". It matches the Rfam family "Bacterial large subunit ribosomal RNA", at positions 1 to 277 of the family's 2925-position model. The record is from RNAcentral. Lineage: Bacteria; Pseudomonadati; Pseudomonadota; Gammaproteobacteria; Enterobacterales; Enterobacteriaceae.
GGGUUGUGAGGUUAAGCGACUAAGCGUACACGGUGGAUGCCCUGGCAGUCAGAGGCGAUGAAGGACGUGCUAAUCUGCGAUAAGCGUCGGUAAGGUGAUAUGAACCGUUAUAACCGGCGAUUUCCGAAUGGGGAAACCCAGUGUGAUUCGUCACACUAUCAUUAACUGAAUCCAUAGGUUAAUGAGGCGAACCGGGGGAACUGAAACAUCUAAGUACCCCGAGGAAAAGAAAUCAACCGAGAUUCCCCCAGUAGCGGCGAGCGAACGGGGAGGAGCCCAGAGCCU